Long non-coding RNA from Prosopis cineraria, 708 nucleotides. RefSeq lists it as uncharacterized. The transcript has 4 exons. NCBI's taxonomy places the organism in Eukaryota, Viridiplantae, Streptophyta, Magnoliopsida, Fabales, Fabaceae. The record is from RefSeq and is a predicted model, not a curated record.
UCUGCAACAGACUCUCCUCUCUGUUUUUCUGCACAAUCGAUGUUCCCUCUUCUUGUUGAGGUAAAUGGCUUCAGAUUCUGAGUCCACUGAAAUCCCUCCAUUAGAUCCGGCUACAACUUUUACUGAUGCUCCAUCGUCACACAAAAAAUUGGAACAGGAAUAUUACAAUAUCCAGCGAGGCCUAACAAUAAUGGAAGAAGUCACAAAAACAAGAGCAGCAAGGAAAAAAUAUCAGUGCAGUGGAACAAGAAAGGCCAAGCCAUCAAAUCUGCAAAGUUUAUAAGUUAUAUUGGGGUUGUGGCAAAGACAACUGUACCUAUCACACAAAAAUCUUGGCGCAAAGUUGAUCAAGCCACGAAGGACAUUGUUUGGGAGACUGUAUCUUCAGGAUUUGAAAUAGACGAAAGCAAGAAGGAUUUUGUCUUUCAAAAGGCUGGGAGGGCAUUACGGUCUUUCAGACAUUUUAUUACACAAAAAUAUUUGAAAGACCUUAAUGCUGAAUUUGUAGCCCAAGUUCCUCCCCUAUUACAGCCUUUAGUAAAGCAAGAAGAUUGGGAUGCUUUUGUUAUCUCUCGGCGCGAGAAGGAAUUUAAGGGACUGAGCGCCCAAAAUAAGAAGAGAGUAGCCAAGAAUGAAUACCCUUACAAAGCAGGGAGGUUAGGGUAUGCAGGUGUGGAGCAGAAAGAAGUUGAGGCUGAGGGAUCGGAU